UGGUAUUUCUUCGGACAUUUUGCAAGGUGCUGCAUGGUUGUCGUCAGCUCGUGCCGUGAGGUGUCGGGUUAAGUCCCAUAACGAGCGCAACCCUACUUGUUAGUUGCCAUCAGGUCAUGCUGGGGACUCUAACAAAACUGCCCGCGUAAGCGUGGAGGAAGGUGGGGAUGACGUCAAAUCAGCACGGCCCUUACGUCCAGGGCUACACACGUGCUACAAUGGCCGGUACAGAGGGCAGCCACUUGGUGACAAGGAGCAAAUCUCAAAAGCCGGUCUCAGUUCGGAUCGGAGUCUGCAACUCGACUCCGUGAAGUUGGAUUCGCUAGUAAUCGUAGAUCAGCAAUGCUACGGUGAAUACGUUCCCGGGCCUU
RNAcentral lists this ribosomal RNA (371 nucleotides) under uncultured Bacteroidota bacterium. Its description in RNAcentral is "bacterial SSU rRNA". It matches the Rfam family "Bacterial small subunit ribosomal RNA", at positions 1010 to 1382 of the family's 1533-position model. Lineage: Bacteria; Pseudomonadati; Bacteroidota. The record is from RNAcentral.